GGAAAAAGAAAAAACAACUGACUUCUUUGCAAGCUUGGGCCUAAAGCAGAAAGGAGCUCGCUGAUCAAAGAAAACAAAUUUGAAUUUGGAGUACAAAGAAGAAUGUCAGAGGACAAUUUCAAGCUGCCAGUAAUCAGCAGAGGCAUGUGAGCUGGAGAGCAAGCCAAGCACACACUUGACAGGAGCAAUCAAGCUGUACAGGACAUCUCUCCUCAGUGAGAUUCAGAAAGGGCUUCUAGGCCCCAGGCUGGGAAUGCACACAACCUUAGGUUGAAUACCAAUCCCCUCAUUCUCUCUUUGGGUCAACUAGUCCACAUGCAAAUUACUUAACCUUGAGUUGCUUCUUUUGUAAUGGGGACACUAAGUUACCUUUUCCUUUAUACUUGAGAGGAAUAUCUAAUUAAAAUAAAGACUUUUUCCUCUGCGUUUGGAUAUAAAUGCUUAAUUCUUUUAGCUGACAAUUUUAUCACUUCUUGCUUCCUCAUUACAUAUAGAAUAAAUAUCAACUUCAUAGAAUAGAGUAAACCAUUACAGCUCUGAUUAA
Molecule: long non-coding RNA, 544 nt
Organism: Manis pentadactyla (Chinese pangolin)
Lineage: Eukaryota; Metazoa; Chordata; Mammalia; Pholidota; Manidae
Exons: 3
Source: RefSeq, a predicted model, not a curated record